AACUAUCAAGACAAUUGCUGAUGCAGAUUGCUGUCCUCAACAGCACUAGGUUGGACCCCAUCACAGUUGAAGACUUUACCUCAUGGGUUACCAAUGCUUUCUCCCUUUUUAAGGAGUGGGCGGGCAUGUUUGUCCCGGGGAGCUAUUGUCCUCCUGGGAUGCGGAGUAGGUCUCUGGCUUAUUGGCCAUUUAAAAAGAGAACAUGCCAGACACAAAGUGGUUGUUUACCAGGCUAUGACCACCAUUAAAAAGGGUACUUCUCCCAA
Molecule: long non-coding RNA, 266 nt
Filed under: Rattus norvegicus (Norway rat)
Lineage: Eukaryota; Metazoa; Chordata; Mammalia; Rodentia; Muridae
Description: long non-coding RNA NONRATT020166
Source: RNAcentral